This 462-nucleotide ribosomal RNA is filed under the name uncultured bacterium. Its description in RNAcentral is "bacterial SSU rRNA". It matches the Rfam family "Bacterial small subunit ribosomal RNA", at positions 29 to 506 of the family's 1533-position model. The record is from RNAcentral.
ACGAACGCUGGCGGCGUGCUUAACACAUGCAAGUCGAGCGGAAAGGCCACUUCGGUGGUACUCGAGCGGCGAACGGGUGAGUAACACGUGAGUAAUCUGCCCUUGGCUUUGGGAUAGCCACCGGAAACGGUGAUUAAUACCGGAUACGACAACUACUCGCAUGGGUUGGUUGUGGAAAGUUUUUCGGCCAGGGAUGUGCUCGCGGCCUAUCAGCUUGAUGGUGAGGUAAUGGCUCACCAUGGCUUCGACGGGUAGCCGGCCUGAGAGGGUGACCGGUCACACUGGGACUGAGACACGGCCCAGACUCCUACGGGAGGCAGCAGUGGGGAAUAUUGGACAAUGGGCGGAAGCCUGAUCCAGCAACGCCGCGUGAGGGAUGACGGCCUUCGGGUUGUAAACCUCUUUCGGUAGGGACGAAGCGCAAGUGACGGUACCUACUAAAGAAGCACCGGCCAACUACGU